RNAcentral lists this ribosomal RNA (459 nucleotides) under Triticum aestivum (bread wheat). RNAcentral's name for it is "partial small subunit ribosomal RNA". The record is from RNAcentral. Lineage: Eukaryota; Viridiplantae; Streptophyta; Magnoliopsida; Poales; Poaceae.
AUGAACGGUUUCCUCUACAAGCACCCUAGCACCAUACUAGCUUCUGAUUUGAAGACUUUGCUUCUCAACCAUGCCGUCCGGUCAUCGGCGAACAUCGUCACCGCUGCUGAGUUCCCUGGCCUCAACACCCUUGGCAUGUCGAUGGCACGGACCGACAUCGAUCCCUAUGAUGUAGUGCUUCCCCACUCUCACCCAAGGGCGUCCGAGAUGAUGUUUGUCCCCAGUGGCAGCGUGCUGGCCGCUUUCUUUGACACCACCGGUAAGCUGUUUCAGAAGAGAUUACGUGAGGGGGAUGUUUUCAUCUUUCCCCGUGGUCUGGUUCACUUUAUCAUGAACUAUGGUCUCCGUCUUGCGACGAUGUUCUCGGUGCUCAGCAGUCAGAACCCUAGUGUGGUUGGAAUCACCCACGCGAUGUUUGCGCCAGAUUCAGAUGUAGUUGAGGGCUGGUGGCCAGAAUGA